AGUUUCACUCCAACCCCUGUGAACAUACCAUUUUGUUGCCUCGGCGGUGCCUGUUCCGACAGCCCGCCAGAGGACCCCAAACCCAAACUUCCUUGAGUGAGUCUUCUGAGUAACCGAUUAAAUCAAUCAAAACUUUCAACAACGGAUCUCUUGGUUCUGGCAUCGAUGAAGAACGCAGCGAAAUGCGAUAAGUAAUGUGAAUUGCAGAAUUCAGUGAAUCAUCGAAUCUUUGAACGCACAUUGCGCCCGCCAGUAUUCUGGCGGGCAUGCCUGUUCGAGCGUCAUUACAUCCCUCAAGCCCCCGGGCUUGGUGUUGGGGAUCGGCGAGCCUCAGCGCCCGCCGUCCCCUAAAUUUAGUGGCGGUCACGCUGUAACUUCCUCUGCGUAGUAGCACACUUAGCACUGGGAAACAGCGCGGCCACGCCGUAAAACCCCCCAACUUUUGAACGUUUGACCUCGAAUCAGGUAGGACUACCCGCUGAACUUAAGCAUAUCAAUAAGCGGAGGAA
This 509-nucleotide ribosomal RNA is filed under the name Ilyonectria destructans. RNAcentral's name for it is "eukaryotic LSU rRNA". The stretch from base 131 to 284 matches the Rfam family "5.8S ribosomal RNA". Lineage: Eukaryota; Fungi; Ascomycota; Sordariomycetes; Hypocreales; Nectriaceae. The record is from RNAcentral.